Molecule: ribosomal RNA, 365 nt
Filed under: uncultured bacterium
Lineage: Bacteria
Description: bacterial SSU rRNA
Rfam family: Bacterial small subunit ribosomal RNA
Source: RNAcentral
GUACGCUAUUCAGAGUUUGAUCCUGGCUCAGGAUGAACGCUGGCGGCGUGCUUAACACAUGCAAGUCGAACGAAGCACUUAUCAUUGAUUGGAGAGCUUGCUCAAAGAGAUUUGAUUUGUGACUUAGUGGCGGACGGGUGAGUAACGCGUGGGUAACCUGCCUCAUACAGGGGGAUAACAGUUGGAAACGACUGUUAAUACCGCAUAAGCGCACAGGACCGCAUGGUCUGGUGUGAAAAACUCCGGUGGUAUGAGAUGGACCCGCGUCUGAUUAGCUAGUUGGUGAGGUAACGGCUCACCAAGGCGACGAUCAGUAGCCGACCUGAGAGGGUGAUCGGCCACAUUGGGACUGAGACACGGCCCAA